Molecule: ribosomal RNA, 212 nt
Filed under: uncultured bacterium
Lineage: Bacteria
Description: partial 16S ribosomal RNA
Rfam family: Bacterial small subunit ribosomal RNA
Source: RNAcentral
AGUUCGGACUGUAGUCUGCAACCCGACUACACGAAGCUGGAAUCGCUAGUAAUCGCGGAUCAGAAUGCCGCGGUGAAUACGUUCCCGGGUCUUGUACACACCGCCCGUCACACCAUGGGAGUCAGUAACGCCCAAAGUCGGUGGCCUAACCUUUAUGGAGGGAGCCGCCUAAGGCGGGACAGAUGACUGGGGUGAAGUCGUAACAAGGUAAC